GAUGAAGAACGUAGCGAAAUGCGAUAAGUAAUGUGAAUUGCAGAAUUCAGUGAAUCAUCGAAUCUUUGAACGCACCUUGCGCCCUUUGGCUAUUCCGAAGGGCAUGCCUGUUUGAGUAUCAUGAACACCUCAACUCUCAUGGUUUGCCAUGAUGAGCUUGGACUCUGGGGGUCUUGCUGGCCUAUGGUCAGCUCCUCUCAAAUAAAUCAGCUUGCCAGUGUUUGGUGGCAUCACAGGUGUGAUAACUAUCUACGCUUGUGGUUUUCCAUCAGGUAACCUUCAGUGAUGGAGGUUCGCUGGAGCUCAUAAAUGUCCCUCCUCAGCGAGGACAGCUUUCUGAACGUUUGAUCUCAAAUCAGGUAGGACUACCCGCUGAACUUAAGCAUAUCAAUAAGCGGAGGA
This 402-nucleotide unclassified non-coding RNA is filed under the name soil metagenome. Its description in RNAcentral is "partial contains 5.8S ribosomal RNA, internal transcribed spacer 2, and large subunit ribosomal RNA". The stretch from base 1 to 121 matches the Rfam family "5.8S ribosomal RNA", at positions 35 to 154 of the family's 154-position model. The record is from RNAcentral.